ACAAUGAAGAGUUUGAUCCUGGCUCAGGAUGAACGCUAGCUACAGGCUUAACACAUGCAAGUCGAGGGGCAUCAGGAAGAAAGCUUGCUUUCUUUGCUGGCGACCGGCGCACGGGUGAGUAACACGUAUCCAACCUGCCCUUUACUCGGGGAUAGCCUUUCGAAAGAAAGAUUAAUACCCGAUGGCAUAAUGAUUCCGCAUGGUUUCAUUAUUAAAGGAUUCCGGUAAAGGAUGGGGAUGCGUUCCAUUAGGUUGUUGGUGAGGUAACGGCUCACCAAGCCUUCGAUGGAUAGGGGUUCUGAGAGGAAGGUCCCCCACAUUGGAACUGAGACACGGUCCAAACUCCUACGGGAGGCAGCAGUGAGGAAUAUUGGUCAAUGGGCGGUAGCCUGAACCAGCCAAGUAGCGUGAAGGAUGAAGGCUCUAUGGGUCGUAAACUUCUUUUAUAUAAGAAUAAAGUGCAGUAUGUAUACUGUUUUGUAUGUAUUAUAUGAAUAAGGAUCGGCUAACUCCGUGCCAGCAGCCGCGGUAAUACGGAGGAUCCGAGCGUUAUCCGGAUUUAUUGGGUUUAAAGGGAGCGUAGGUGGACUGGUAAGUCAGUUGUGAAAGUUUGCGGCUCAACCGUAAAAUUGCAGUUGAUACUGUCAGUCUUGAGUACAGUAGAGGUGGGCGGAAUUCGUGGUGUAGCGGUGAAAUGCUUAGAUAUCACGAAGAACUCCGAUUGCGAAGGCAGCUCACUGGACUGCAACUGACACUGAUGCUCGAAAGUGUGGGUAUCAAACAGGAUUAGAUACCCUGGUAGUCCACACAGUAAACGAUGAAUACUCGCUGUUUGCGAUAUACAGUAAGCGGCCAAGCGAAAGCAUUAAGUAUUCCACCUGGGGAGUACGCCGGCAACGGUGAAACUCAAAGGAAUUGACGGGGGCCCGCACAAGCGGAGGAACAUGUGGUUUAAUUCGAUGAUACGCGAGGAACCUUACCCGGGCUUAAAUUGCAGUGGAAUGAUGUGGAAACAUGUCAGUGAGCAAUCACCGCUGUGAAGGUGCUGCAUGGUUGUCGUCAGCUCGUGCCGUGAGGUGUCGGCUUAAGUGCCAUAACGAGCGCAACCCUUAUCUUCAGUUACUAACAGGUCAUGCUGAGGACUCUGGAGAGACUGCCGUCGUAAGAUGUGAGGAAGGUGGGGAUGACGUCAAAUCAGCACGGCCCUUACGUCCGGGGCUACACACGUGUUACAAUGGGGGUACAGAAGGCAGCUAGCGGGUGACCGUAUGCUAAUCCCAAAAUCCUCUCUCAGUUCGGAUCGAAGUCUGCAACCCGACUUCGUGAAGCUGGAUUCGCUAGUAAUCGCGCAUCAGCCACGGCGCGGUGAAUACGUUCCCGGGCCUUGUACACACCGCCCGUCAAGCCAUGGGAGCCGGGGGUACCUGAAGUACGUAACCGCAAGGAUCGUCCUAGGGUAAAACUGGUGACUGGGGCUAAGUCGUAACAAGGUAGCCGUACCGGAAGGUGCGGCUGGAACACCUCCUUU
RNAcentral lists this ribosomal RNA (1528 nucleotides) under Bacteroides fragilis. Its description in RNAcentral is "bacterial SSU rRNA". It matches the Rfam family "Bacterial small subunit ribosomal RNA". Lineage: Bacteria; Pseudomonadati; Bacteroidota; Bacteroidia; Bacteroidales; Bacteroidaceae. The record is from RNAcentral.